GUCUAUGGCCAUACCACCCUGAACACACCCGAUCACGUCUGAUCUCAGAAGCUAAGCAGGGUCGGGCCUGGUUAGUACUUGGAUGGGGGACCGCCUAGGAAUACCGGGUGCUCUAGGUU
Molecule: ribosomal RNA, 119 nt
Organism: Mastomys coucha (southern multimammate mouse)
Lineage: Eukaryota; Metazoa; Chordata; Mammalia; Rodentia; Muridae
Source: RefSeq, a predicted model, not a curated record